Molecule: ribosomal RNA, 502 nt
Filed under: uncultured Glomeromycotina
Lineage: Eukaryota; Fungi; Glomeromycota
Description: partial small subunit ribosomal RNA
Rfam family: Eukaryotic small subunit ribosomal RNA
Source: RNAcentral
CCAAUAGCGUAUAUUAAAGUUGUUGCAGUUAAAAAGCUCGUAGUUGAACUUCGGGAUUUGCCCAUUGGUCAGGCUUAACUGUCUGCACUGGUGUGACGAGUUCCUACCUUCUGAGGAAUCUCCAUGUCAUUCAGUUGGUGUGGGGGGAAAUCAGGACUGUUACUUUGAAAAAAUUAGGGUGUUUAAAGCAGGCAUCCGUCUGAAUACAUUAGCAUGGAAUAAUAAAAUAGGACGGUUUGGUUCUAUUUUGUUGGUUUCUAGGAUCACCGUAAUGAUUAAUAGGGAUAGUUGGGGGCAUUAGUAUUCAAUUGUCAGAGGUGAAAUUCUUGGAUUUAUUGAAGACUAACUACUGCGAAAGCAUUUGCCAAGGAUGUUUUCAUUAAUCAAGAACGAAAGUUAGGGGAUCGAAGACGAUCAGAUACCGUCGUAGUCUUAACCAUAAACUAUGCCGACUAGGGAUCGGACGAAGUUAAUUUUUUAAUGACUCGUUCGGCACCUUACG